This is a non-coding RNA of Urocitellus parryii (Arctic ground squirrel), 521 nucleotides long. The record is from RefSeq and is a predicted model, not a curated record. NCBI's taxonomy places the organism in Eukaryota, Metazoa, Chordata, Mammalia, Rodentia, Sciuridae.
UUGCUUCUUUGCACUAGCCACGAAAGAAUGAAUUAAAAAUGGGUGAUGUUGAGAAAGGCAAGAAGAUUUUUGUUCAGAAGUGUGCCCAAUGCCACACGGUGGAAAAGGGAGGCAAGCACAAGACUGGGCCAAAUCUCCAUGGACUGUUUGGGCGGAAGGCAGGUCAGGCUGCUGGAUUCUCUUAUACAGAUGCCAACAAGAACAAAGGCAUCACCUGGGGAGAGGAUACACUGAUGGAGUAUUUGGAGAAUCCCAAAAAGUACAUCCCUGGAACAAAAAUGAUCUUCGCUGGCAUUAAGAAGAAGGGAGAAAGGGCAGACCUAAUAGCUUACCUCAAAAAAGCCACUAAUGAGUAAUAGCUACUGCCUUAUUUAUUACCAAACAGAAAUGUCUCUUGGCUUUUUUAUGUGCACCAUGAUUUAAUUGAUGUGAUACACCAGAAAUCAGAUCAUGAAUGACUGACAAAAUUAUUUUUGUUGGACAAUCCUGAUUUAAGUAAAACUUACUUGUAGUUAAAUUAA